Long non-coding RNA from Brienomyrus brachyistius, 423 nucleotides. RefSeq lists it as uncharacterized. The transcript has 4 exons. The record is from RefSeq and is a predicted model, not a curated record. Lineage: Eukaryota; Metazoa; Chordata; Actinopteri; Osteoglossiformes; Mormyridae.
AGAUGCCACCACACUGUCAAAAGCGAGUGAGGAGUAUCGGGCAGAGAUUUCCAUGCUUCUGCGUGACGUUUCUCUCCAUGUUGAACAAGAAGGAAGGAAUGUCAUCAGUGACAUGCUAGACAAAGGGAAGAGAAUUCUACAAGAACAUCUGGAAACCUUUGUCCAUACAGGUCUUUGCCCAAACAGUUGCGGGUUGCUAAAUCAGAGAGUCAUAAACUGUGAGACCUGUGCCUCUCAGAUACGCACCUGCCCCUCUCCACUCGGCCGGGAUACCUGUGGCAGUGAGUUAUACUUGUCCAUCCAUCCAUCUAUAUGUCUGUCCAUAUCUGUAUACACAAAUACACAGUAUGUCUUCCUUCCUGCUCUGCUCCUCUUUUUUGUUUGUUACCGUACGUCACCAGCAGGGUAGUAUUAAUUUUUCUU